UAGGGAAUCUUCGGCAAUGGGGGGAACCCUGACCGAGCAACGCCGCGUGAGUGAAGAAGGUUUUCGGAUCGUAAAGCUCUGUUGUUAAGGAAGAACGAGUGUGAGAAUGGAAAGUUCAUGCUGUGACGGUACUUAACCAGAAAGGGACGGCUAAAUACGUGCCAGCAGCCGCGGUAAUACGUAGGUCCCGAGCGUUGUCCGGAUUUAUUGGGCGUAAAGCGAGCGCAGGCGGUUAGAAAAGUCUGAAGUGAAAGGCAGUGGCUCAACCAUUGUAGGCUUUGGAAACUGUUUAACUUGAGUGCAGAAGGGGAGAGUGGAAUUCCAUGUGUAGCGGUGAAAUGCGUAGAUAUAUGGAGGAACACCGGUGGCGAAAGCGGCUCUCUGGUCUGUAACUGACGCUGAGGCUCGAAAGCGUGGGGAGCGAACAGG
Molecule: ribosomal RNA, 429 nt
Filed under: Bacteroidota bacterium
Lineage: Bacteria; Pseudomonadati; Bacteroidota
Description: Bacteroidetes bacterium partial 16S ribosomal RNA
Rfam family: Bacterial small subunit ribosomal RNA
Source: RNAcentral